This 72-nucleotide transfer RNA is filed under the name Caudoviricetes sp. RNAcentral's name for it is "tRNA-Arg". It matches the Rfam family "tRNA". Rfam says of the family: Transfer RNA (tRNA) molecules are approximately 80 nucleotides in length. The record is from RNAcentral. Lineage: Duplodnaviria; Heunggongvirae; Uroviricota; Caudoviricetes.
GGCCGGUUAGCUCAAUGGAUAGAGCCUACGUUUCCUAAACGUAUUAUGGUGGUUCGACUCCACCACCGGUCA